Molecule: ribosomal RNA, 492 nt
Filed under: uncultured bacterium
Lineage: Bacteria
Description: partial 16S ribosomal RNA
Rfam family: Bacterial small subunit ribosomal RNA
Source: RNAcentral
AGUGAACGCUGGCGGUAGGCCUAACACAUGCAAGUCGAACGGCAGCACAGUAAGAGCUUGCUCUUACGGGUGGCGAGUGGAGGACGGGUGAGGAACACAUCGGAAUUUACUUUUUCGUGGGGGAUAACGUAGGGAAACUUACGCUAAUACCGCAUACGACCUACGGGUGAAAGCAGGGGAUCUUCGGACCUUGCGCGAUUGAAUGAGCCGAUGUGGGAUUAGUUAGUUGGCGGGGUAAAGGCCGGCCAAGGCGGCGAUCCGUAGCUGGGCUGAGAGGAUGAUCAGCCACACUGUAACUUAGACACGGUCCAGACUCCUACGGGAGGCAGCAGUGGGGAAUAUUGGACAAUGGGCGCAAGCCUGAUCCAGCCAUGCCGCGUGGGUGAAGAAGGCCUUCGGGUUGUAAAGUCCUUUUGUUGGGAAAGAAGAGCAGCAGGUUAAUACCCCGCUGUUCUGACGGUACUCAAAGAAUAAGCACCGGCUAACUUCGUG